CUGUAUACAUGCUGCAGAUGAUACACUGUGUCUGCAUCAGACUGUGCUGAGAUUCAGACCUUCACCACAAGUUCCAGUUGUCAGAAGGAAGGAAGAACCUGAGAAGACCUUAAGUGAUCAAUUUGUCAGCUGCCAUCACUGGGGAAGAACCAACUUCAGAGCCUGUGACAGUGUUUUCUGAUGAGCUAUUGGCACAUUAGAGACCUACACGUUCACCUGGGGAGGAGCACACCUGUUCAGUCAACCCGUGUGCAUGAUAACGUAUGAUAAUCGUGCGUCAGUGCUUCUGGGGGCUCUGUCAUUGCACCCAGACUGCUGAGAGAUCCUUCCAUCUGUAAUGCCAAUGCAAGGUCCUACACACAGAAUAAUGUUGGAGCUUAUUUGUUACUCUUUUCACAUACUCCUUUUGGUAAACACAUGAAUGUUGAUUCUCUGCCCACAAGAUAAACCUUCACUGUGGCAGUAAUGGAUGCAGCUUGCAAACAGGAAAGGAGGAAAGUGACAAUAAGUAGCACAAAGAAACCACACUGUGGACUUGGUUGCUGAGUUAGAUGGCCCUCUGAUAUCUGCUGGAAGGAUUUCUUGUGCAUUCAAGAGGAGCAGCAUAAGGUAAGAUGCUG
Molecule: long non-coding RNA, 620 nt
Organism: Prinia subflava (tawny-flanked prinia)
Lineage: Eukaryota; Metazoa; Chordata; Aves; Passeriformes; Cisticolidae
Exons: 4
Source: RefSeq, a predicted model, not a curated record